AGUGAACGCUGGCGGUAGGCCUAACACAUGCAAGUCGAACGGCAGCACAGUAAGAGCUUGCUCUUACGGGUGGCGAGUGGCGGACGGGUGAGGAAUACAUCGGAAUCUACUUUUUCGUGGGGGAUAACGUAGGGAAACUUACGCUAAUACCGCAUACGACAUACGGGUGAAAGCAGGGGAUCUUCGGACCUUGCGCGAUUGAAUGAGCCGAUGUCGGAUUAGCUAGUUGGCGGGGUAAAGGCCCACCAAGGCGACGAUCCGUAGCUGGUCUGAGAGGAUGAUCAGCCACCCUGGAACUGGGCCACGGUCCAGACUCCUACGGGAGGCAGCAGUGGGGAAUAUUGGACAAUGGGCGCAAGCCUGAUCCAGCCAUACCGCGUGGGUGAAGAAGGCCUUCGGGUUGUAAAGCCCUUUUGUUGGGAAAGAAAAGCAGCAGGUUAAUACCCCGCUGUUCUGACGGUACCCAAAGAAUAAGCACCGGCUAACUUCGUG
Molecule: ribosomal RNA, 492 nt
Filed under: uncultured bacterium
Lineage: Bacteria
Description: partial 16S ribosomal RNA
Rfam family: Bacterial small subunit ribosomal RNA
Source: RNAcentral